UACGUAGGGUGCUAGCGUUGCUCGGAAUUACUGGGCGUAAAGGGAGCGUAGGCGGACAUUUAAGUCAGAGGUGAAAUCCCGGGGCUCAACCUCGGAAUUGCCUUUGAUACUGGGUGUCUUGAGUAUGAGAGAGGUAUGUGGAACUCCGAGUGUAGAGGUGAUAUUCGUAGAUAUUCGGAAGAACACCAGUGGCGAAGGCGACAUACUGGCUCAUUACUGACGCUGAGGCUCGAAAGCGUGGGGAGCAAACAGG
RNAcentral lists this ribosomal RNA (253 nucleotides) under uncultured bacterium. RNAcentral describes it as "partial 16S ribosomal RNA". It matches the Rfam family "Bacterial small subunit ribosomal RNA", at positions 524 to 776 of the family's 1533-position model. The record is from RNAcentral.